GAGUUUGAUCCUGGCUCAGGAUGAACGCUGGCGGCGUGCUUAACACAUGCAAGUCGAACGGGGAUGCUUAUGGAAGGGGUGCUUGCACUCUGGAAGUAAGGAUCUUAGUGGCGGACGGGUGAGUAACGCGUGGGUAACCUGCCCCAUACCGGGGGAUACCACCUGGAAACAGGUGCUAAUACCGCAUAAGCGCACGGGAGCGCAUGCUCCUGUGUGAAAAACUCCGGUGGUAUGGGAUGGACCCGCGUCUGAUUAGCCAGUUGGCAGGGUAACGGCCUACCAAAGCGACGAUCAGUAGCCGGCCUGAGAGGGUGGACGGCCACAUUGGGACUGAGACACGGCCCAAACUCCUACGGGAGGCAGCAGUGGGGAAUAUUACACAAUGGGGGAAACCCUGAUGCAGCGACGCCGCG
Molecule: ribosomal RNA, 413 nt
Filed under: uncultured bacterium
Lineage: Bacteria
Description: bacterial SSU rRNA
Rfam family: Bacterial small subunit ribosomal RNA
Source: RNAcentral